GUAAUGCACUCGGCAAACGGCUCAGUAACACGUGGGUAAUCUACCAUCAGGACAGGGAUAACCCCGGAAAACUGGGGAUAAUACCUGAUAGGUGGGGAAGUCUGGAACGACUCUCCGCUCAAAUGCUCCGGCGCCUGAGGAUGAGCCUGCGACCGAUUAGGUUGUUGCCGGUGUAAUGGACCACCAAGCCUGAGAUCGGUACGGGUGUUGAGAGACAGUGCCCGGAGAUGGGGACUGAGACACGGCCCCAGGCCCUACGGGGCGCAGCAGGCGCGAAAACUCCGCAAUACACGAAAGUGUGACGGGGGAACCCCAAGUGCGUUCACGCAAGUGAGUGCUUUUGUGAAGUGUAAAUAGCUUUAUGAAUAAAAGCUGGGUAAGACCGGUGCCAGCCGCCGCGGAAACACCGGCAGCUUGAGUGGUGAUCACUAUUAUUGGGCCUAAAGCGUCCGUAGCCUGUUUGGUAAGUCCUUGGGCAAAUCCUGUCGCUUAACGGCAGGAAUUCUGAGGAUACUGCCAGACUUGAGGUCGAGAGAGGUCGGAGGUACUCCUGGGGUAGCGGUGAAAUGCUAUAAUCCUGGGGGGACCACCAGUGGCGAAAGCGUCCGACCAGAGCGAGCCUGACGGUAAGGGACGAA
RNAcentral lists this ribosomal RNA (638 nucleotides) under uncultured archaeon. Its description in RNAcentral is "bacterial SSU rRNA". It matches the Rfam family "Archaeal small subunit ribosomal RNA", at positions 69 to 708 of the family's 1478-position model. The record is from RNAcentral.